AAGUCGUAACAAGGUUUCCGUAGGUGAACCUGCGGAAGGAUCAUUAACACGUUUCGUUCCGAACGUUUUCUGACCUAUUCUAUUUUCCGUGCACAAAACAUACAACACCCGGCCUCCUGACCUUUCCUCUCAGUUUAUUCUGUCUGUGAUCGUGCCAGGCGUCAUAUGGGGUAACAUAGGACUCGUUGUCUUGAAAAGUUAUGCGAGCGGAAUGCUUGCGCUACUUAGUAGAGACUGUGAGGCCUCCCAUUGACGUUGCCAACUCACCCAACCCUUAAAUCUAAUUGCUCUGAACUCUAGUUAUGAUUCACGUCAUAACGAUUUUAAAACAAAUAACAACUCUUAACAACGGAUAUCUUGGUUCUC
This 366-nucleotide unclassified non-coding RNA is filed under the name fungal sp. Its description in RNAcentral is "partial internal transcribed spacer region". The stretch from base 1 to 46 matches the Rfam family "Eukaryotic small subunit ribosomal RNA", at positions 1786 to 1831 of the family's 1831-position model. The record is from RNAcentral. Lineage: Eukaryota; Fungi.